GGCCUGCGCGGAAGAUGUAACGGGGCUAAACCAGGUACCGAAGCUACGGGUUCAUUCUUAGGAAUGAGCGGUAGAGGAGCGUCGUGUACGCCAAUGAAGGUGGAUUGAGAAGUCUGCUGGAGGUAUCACGAGUGCGAAUGCUGACAUGAGUAACGAUAAAGGGAGUGAAAAACUCCCUCGCCGGAAGACCAAGGGUUUCUGUUCGACGCUAAUCGGAGCAGAGUGAGUCGGCCCCUAAGGCGAGGCCGAAAGGCGUAGUCGAUGGGAAACGGGUCAAUAUUCCCGUACCGGACAUGGUUGCGAUGGGGGGACGAAGAAGGCUAGGUGAGCCAGGCGUUGGUUGUCCUGGUGAAAGUGAGUAGGCUUAGGGUUUAGGUAAAUCCGGACCCUUUUAAGGCCGAGACACGAAACGAACUGACCACGGUCAGGAAGUCACUGAUGCCACGCUUCCAGGAAAAGCCUCUAAGCUUCAGAUCAUGUGCGACCGUACCCCAAACCGACACAGGUGGUCAGGGUGAGAAUCCCAAGGCGCUUGAGAGAACUCGGGUGAAGGAACUAGGCAAAAUGGUGCCGUAACUUCGGGAGAAGGCACGCCGGCGUAGGGUGAUGAGACUUGCUCUCUAAGCCCGAACCGGUCGAAGAUACCAGGUGGCUGCAACUGUUUAUUAAAAACACAGCACUCUGCUAACGCGCAAGCGGACGUAUAGGGUGUGACGCCUGCCCGGUGCCGGAAGGUUAAAUGAUGGUGUUAGCCGCAAGGCGAAGCUCUUGAUUGAAGCCCCGGUAAACGGCGGCCGUAACUAUAACGGUCCUAAGGUAGCGAAAUUCCUUGUCGGGUAAGUUCCGACCUGCACGAAUGGCGUAAUGAUGGCCACGCUGUCUCCACCCGAGACUCAGUGAAAUUGAAAUCGCCGUGAAGAUGCGGUGUACCCGCGGCUAGACGGAAAGACCCCGUGAACCUUUACUAUAGCUUCACACUGGACGCUGAUGUUGCCUGUGUAGGAUAGCUGGGAGGCUUUGAACUCCGGACGCCAGUUCGGAGGGAGCCAACCUUGAAAUACCAGCCUGGCAUCAUUGGCGUUCUCACUCAGGUCCGUUAUCCGGAUCGAGGACAGUGUGUGGUGGGUAGUUUGACUGGGGCGGUCUCCUCCUAAAGAGUAACGGAGGAGCACGAAGGUACCCUCAGCACGGUCGGACAUCGUGCAUUGAGUGCAAGAGCAUAAGGGUGCUUGACUGCGAGACAGACACGUCGAGCAGGUGCGAAAGCAGGUUCUAGUGAUCCGGUGGUUCUGUAUGGAAGGGCCAUCGCUCAACGGAUAAAAGGUACU
This 1328-nucleotide ribosomal RNA is filed under the name seawater metagenome. RNAcentral's name for it is "bacterial LSU rRNA". It matches the Rfam family "Bacterial large subunit ribosomal RNA", at positions 1156 to 2467 of the family's 2925-position model. The record is from RNAcentral.